UACGUAGGGGGCAAGCGUUGUCCGGAUUUAUUGGGCGUAAAGAGCGUGUAGGCGGCUUGGUAGGUCCGCUGUGAAAACUCGAGGCUCAACCUCGAGAUGUCGGCGGAAACCACUUGGCUAGAGUCCGGAAGAGGAGAGUGGAAUUCCCGGUGUAGCGGUGAAAUGCGCAGAUAUCAGGAGGAACACCGAUGGCGAAGGCAGGUCUCUGGGCAUUAACUGACGCUGAGGAGCGAAAGCAUGGGGAGCGAACAGG
This 253-nucleotide ribosomal RNA is filed under the name uncultured bacterium. RNAcentral describes it as "partial 16S ribosomal RNA". It matches the Rfam family "Bacterial small subunit ribosomal RNA", at positions 524 to 776 of the family's 1533-position model. The record is from RNAcentral.